GACGGACGCUGGCGGCGUGCUUAACACAUGCCAGUCGAACGGAAAGGCCCUGCUUUUGUGGGGUGCUCGAGUGGCGAACGGGUGAGUAACACGUGAGUAACCUGCCCUUGACUUUGGGAUAACUUCAGGAAGCUGGGGCUAAUACCGGAUAGGAGCUCCUGCUGCAUGGUGGGGGUUGGAAAGUUUCGGCGGUUGGGGAUGGACUCGCGGCUUAUCAGCUUGUUGGUGGGGUAGUGGCUUACCAAGGCUUUGACGGGUAGCCGGCCUGAGAGGGUGACCGGCCACAUUGGGACUGAGAUACGGCCCAGACUCCUACGGGAGGCAGCAGUGGGGAAUAUUGCACAAUGGGCGGAAGCCUGAUGCAGCAACGCCGCGUGCGGGAUGACGGCCUUCGGGUUGUAAACCGCUUUCGCCUGUGACGAAGCGUGAGUGACGGUAAUGGGUAAAGAAGCACCGGCUAACUACGUG
This 468-nucleotide ribosomal RNA is filed under the name uncultured bacterium. RNAcentral describes it as "partial 16S ribosomal RNA". It matches the Rfam family "Bacterial small subunit ribosomal RNA", at positions 28 to 507 of the family's 1533-position model. The record is from RNAcentral.